Molecule: long non-coding RNA, 1185 nt
Organism: Neofelis nebulosa (Clouded leopard)
Lineage: Eukaryota; Metazoa; Chordata; Mammalia; Carnivora; Felidae
Exons: 4
Source: RefSeq, a predicted model, not a curated record
UCUGGGGUGACAAUGGCAGGCUUCUGCUGCUAGAAGUGAACAGAAUCACUUCUGAUUUAACCCCGUGUCUCCUUUGACAUUCCUCUGGCCAACUUGGUCUUCAAAGCACAAGGAUUUAGAAGAUGAGAAGGAUUUUCCAGACAUAGAGGAAGAAAAGAAGAAAUCAAGAGCUGUAAACAAGGGGGACAAAGAAGCUAAAACAGUAUCCUUUGUAUUUCUAAGUGGCCUUCACUUCCUGGUGUCAGAAGAACAAACCCCUGUGCCGGAUGCUCCAGAUUUGAGCACUGGGAGGAUGAAAAGGCAAAUCAACGCCUUGCUAUGAUUUGCUCAAUUAACCCGGACGAGAUGAACAGACUUCCCCUAACAGGCUUCCAAGACAUGUGAUGUCCAGCCAUCCCGAAGGCUGAACAUUAACUGGUAAAUAAGGCUGGAAAAUUCAUGCUGGAGACAUUAAGUUUUGAUCUACGAUAACCAAGUCUUCACCAUCACUACCACAGGAUGGCCACAGAACAGGAUUUCAGAGGGGCCCCACGAACCACAGGUUGAAAACUCCUGGUCUAAACGGGGAUACAGAGAAGCAGAGAAGCAUCUUCUUCAGAGGAAGAUGCAGAGGCAGGAAGAUGGAGAGGUGGGUGGAAAGAGCCCCAAGGAAAAGGGCCGGCCCUGGUUUCCACCUCCUCUCUCACACCUAGAUCAGUGCUGGACCUGACUUUGAAGCUGGGCCUUCCUCAGGGCGUGUUUGAUCUCCCCAUCCCUUCUUCUCUCUCAUCCAGACACACCCCCCUUAUGACAAGAGCGCACUGUGGCUUAGAAUUUACAGAUACGAGCUAUUCUAGGGAAACCUCAGAAAGGAGACCUCACUCCUGAGCAGCGUUAUCUCAGCCGGUCUUUUUCCUCUCAGAGCCCCUGUUUCUCAAGGGAUUCACACAGAUGAAAACGCACAUUUGUGAGUCACCGCGACGUCAGCUCAGAAGUUGUCCAGGGCUGGGUCAGUAGGAGUCUUAGGUGACAUGGAGGGACAGCAGGAGCAAAGGCUGCCAGAAAGACCAGCUAAGGCUUCCUCUGUCUUCCAGCCCUGUGCGCUACAGAAACGAAGGCAGGAAUGGAGGGAAACUCCCUUUUUUGGGGAGAGGGAGGAACCUCUCUUUUUGCACUUCUGUAUAGUGUGGUCUUAUGGUUAAAGAA